CGCGUUCCGGGACCCGGCGGAGGAAGGGAAGGCCUGGCUGUCCAGCGGAAUCCGCCUGGACGCACGGACCUCGCGGACCCGACCGGAGCAGCUCUUCGGGCCCUGGCGUGGACCCUUCUCCCAGAGGCACAUGCCCAGAACCCAGCAAUGGCCAAUGGGACCCUGAUGGCCGAGGGCCAGAUGGAGUCUCGCUCUGUCGCCCAGGCUAGAGUACAAUGGCAUGGUCUCGGCUCACUGCAUCACUGCAACCUCUACCUCCCAGGUUCAAGCGAUUCUCCUACCUCACCCUCCCAAGUGGCUGGGAUUACAGGCGUGUGCCACCACACCCAGCUAAUUUUUGUAUUUUUAGUAGAGACAGGGUUUCACCAUGUUGGCCAGGCUGGUCUCGAACUGCUGACCUCGUGAUCUACCUGCCUCGGCCUCCCAAAGUGCUGGGAUUACAGGUGCGGGCCACUGCGCCGGCCAUGUUUCUCGACGUCUGCUGGCAAGCACGUUCCAGUAUUCGCAUGGCUCCUAGCCCUCAUCUCCAUUUCUCUGCACAGAUGUUACCUUCCCCAUGAGGUCUGCCUUAUACAUGAGGCCUGUAUUAUCAACUGCAAGUCCCCAUUCCCCAACCCCGUUGUUUCUUCUCUCCAGAACACUAGGCACCAUCUGAUCUACUAUGCCUUUUCCUUAUUGUCAGAUACUGAACUCUCAGAUACAGUUCCCCUUCCUCCCUCCAGGGGGCGCCACGGAACGCAGGGCCCUCACUGGCCCUGGGGACUGGGUGACGUCAGGGGUGAGCCUCUUGUGACUGCCUCCCUCACCCUGCGUAAGCUCAAAGGGACUAAAGGUCAGCCCCGACACCCGGAGCCAUUGUGGCUCCGGCCGGUUGUGCCUGCCCUCGGGCCCUCACGGAGGCGGGGGUUCCAGGGCACGAGUUCGAGGCCAGCCUGGUCCACAUUGGUUGCAGAAAAGAAUUCUUUUUAUCGUUCCCUAUAUAACAACAAAACAUAAAGGGAGGACGCCUUGAUAGGGAGAAAUGACAUCUUCCUAAGCGUUUUUAAAUUACUUCAAUGUAUCUUUUUUUUUUUUUUUUUUUUUUUUUGGGAGACCGAGGCUUGCUCUGUUGCCCAGGCUGGAGUGCAGUGGUGUGAUCUUGGCUCACUGCAACCUCCGCCUCGUCGGUUCAAGGGAGUCUCCUAUCUCAGCCUCCUGAGUAGCUGGGAUUACAGUCGCCUGCCAAGAGAUGGGGUUUCGCCAUGUUGACCAGGCUGGUCUUGAACACCUGGCCUCAAAUGAUCCACUCGCCUUGGUCUCCCAAAGUGGUAGGAUGACAGGCGUGAGCCACCGCGCCCAGCCUCUUCUAUUCUUUUAGAGACAGGGUCUCACUCUGUUGCCCAGGCUGGAGUGCAUUGAUGUGAUGUGUGAUCAUAGCUCAUUGCAGCCCUGACCAUCCGAGCUCAAGCAAUCCUUCUGCCUCAGCCUCCCGAGUAGCUGGGGCCGCAGAUGUGCACCACUGCACCUGGCUAAUUUUUAACAUUUUUGUGGAGCCAGAGUCUGUAUAAAAUAAAGUGUAAAUAGUACCAUAAAUAAAGUAUACAUAGUACCAUUUUAUAGUAGUAUAAAACGGACAUUAGAAACUCUGAACUUCAAGGUGAAAAAAAUACACAAAAGUAGUUCUCAAGUUCUAGAGACUUGGAGAAUCCAGGAAUCAACAAUGUCGUGGAACUCCUACAGCCUUUCAUAAAGAAUGGCCCUCGAGGAAAGUGGAAUUGUCAGUGGGCAUUGUGUUGGUGCCUCAGCUAAACGCGGCAGGAAUUUAUUUAUAACCUAGUGUAACAUCCUCGAGGCACUGUUCAAUUAUUCAAGCAAUUGUAAAAUUCUCCCAGUCUUAGAAAAGAUACAGGUGUGUGUCCCUCUGCUGUGGCUGUGCACUGAGGCUUCAGUAAAAGUUGCCGUCUAAAACCACCGGCCUGCCCUUGAAUUCUUUUUUUUUUUUUUUUUUUUUGAGAUGGAGUCUCACUCUAUCACCCAGGCUGGAGUGCAGUGACACGAUCUCUGCUCGUUGCAACCUCCGCCUCCCGGUUGAAUGAUAUUGAGAUGUAAAAAACCAUACAAAAGAUCAAUGAAACCCAAAGUUGAUUUUUUAAAAAAAUUAUUUAUUUAUUAUUUAUUCCAUAAAUUAUUGGGGUACAGGUGGUGUUUGGUUACCUAAGCUCUUUAGCGGUGAUUUGUGAUUUUGGUGCACCCGUCACCUGAGCAGUAUACACUACACCCUAUUUGUUGUCUUUUAUCCCUCGCCCCCGCCAACUCGUCCCCCUAAGUCCCCAAAGUCCAUUGUAUCAUUCUUACGCCUUUGCGUCCUCAUAGCUUAGCUCCCACAUAUCAGUGAGAACAUACGAUGUUUGGUUUUCCAUUCCGGAGUUACUUCACUUAGAAUAAUAGUCUCCAGUCUCCUCCAGGUCACUGCAAAUGCUGUUAAUUCAUAAAAAGUUGAUAUUUUCGAAGGCAUAAAUAACAUUGAAAGACCACUAGCUAGAUUAAUAAAGGCAAAAAGACAAGAUCCAAAUAAACACAAUCAGAAAUGACAGAGGUGACAUUACCACCGACCCACAGACAUACAAGAAACCCUGAGACUAUUCCACAUGCCUCUAUGCACACAAACUAGAAAACUAGAAGAAAUAGAUAAAUUCCUGGAAACAUCAAACCUCUCAAGAUUGAACCAGGAAGAAAUGGCAACCCUGAACAAACCAACGGUGAGUUCCAAAAUUGAGUUAGUCAUACAAAACGUACCAACCAAAACAAAAGCCUUAGACUAGACGGAUCCACAGUCGAAUUCUACCAGAUGUGUAAAGAAAAGCCGGCACCAAUCCUACUGAAAUUAUUCCACAAAAUUCAGGAGGAGCAACUGCUCUCGAACUCAUUCUAUGAGGUCAGAGUCAUUCUGAUACCGAAACCUGGCAGAGACACAACGAAAAAAGAAAAAUAGGUAAAGUAAUACAUAUGCUAAUGAUCUUGAUUUAGCCAUUCUACGGUAUAUACAUAUUUCAAAACAAUAUGUACAUGAUAAAUAUGUACAAUUUGUCAAUUAAAAAUAUAUAAAAGGAAUAGGAAAAAAUUCAAAUGGCGCAGAAUUUGAAAGGAGAAGAUACAGAACAAACUCCAGUGUCUUCUUUAUUCAACUAUAUAUACACACAUUCAAUGGACCGGGAGCAGUGGCUCAAGCCUGUAAUCACAGCACUUUGGGAGGUCAAGGCGGGCGGAUCACCUGAGGUCGGGAGUUCGAGACCGGCCUGGCCAACAUAGAGAAACCCCAGCUCUACUAAAAAUACAAAAUUAGCCGGGCAUGCUGGUGCAUGCCUGUAAUCCCAGCUACUCGGGAGGCUGAGGCAGGAGAACCGCUUGAACUCAAGAGGUGGAGGUGUGGAGGUUGUGGUGAGCCGAGAUGGCACCAUUGCGCUCCAGCCUGGGAAACAAGAGCGAAACUCAGUCUCAAAAAAAAAAAAAAAAAAAAAAGGAUUUAAUGAAUGAAUGAUGAGACCGUUGGUGACAUCUCCCACCUUCUCCCUCUCACUCCACUGCAGUCACACGGGGCUCCUCACUGUUCCCGUAGCAGCAGGCAUGUGCCCGCACAGGGCCUCUGUACUGGCUGUUCCCACUGCCCGAACCCCCUCAUGCACCAUCUGCGCUGUCCAAUACGGCCGCCUCUGGCCACACAUGGCUACUGAGCAGUUGAACAUGGCUGGCCCAAACCAAGAUUUCCAAUACGUCGUAUGGUUAAAAAAAAAACAUAAAAUCUUGCAAAAAUGUUUCUAUUGAUUAUGUUAAAAUUAUGAUGUUUUAGGUAUAUUAGGUUAAAUCAGCUAUUUUAUCAAAAUGAAUGUCACCUGUUUGUUUUUGCUUUUUUUUUUUUUUUUUUUUUGAGAUGGAGUCUCGCUCUGUCGCCCAGGCUAGAGUACAAUGGCAUGGUCUCGGCUCACUGCAUCACUGCAACCUCUACCUCCCAGGUUCAAGCGAUUCUCCUACCUCACCCUCCCAAGUGGCUGGGAUUACAGGCGUGUGCCACCACACCCAGCUAAUUUUUGUAUUUUUAGUAGAGACAGGGUUUCACCAUGUUGGCCAGGCUGGUCUCGAACUGCUGACCUCGUGAUCUACCUGCCUCGGCCUCCCAAAGUGCUGGGAUUACAGGUGCGGGCCACUGCGCCGGCCAUGUUUCUCGACGUCUGCUGGCAAGCACGUUCCAGUAUUCGCAUGGCUCCUAGCCCUCAUCUCCAUUUCUCUGCACAGAUGUUACCUUCCCCAUGAGGUCUGCCUUAUACAUGAGGCCUGUAUUAUCAACUGCAAGUCCCCAUUCCCCAACCCCGUUGUUUCUUCUCUCCAGAACACUAGGCACCAUCUGAUCUACUAUGCCUUUUCCUUAUUGUCAGAUACUGAACUCUCAGAUACAGUUCCCCUUCCUCCCUCCAGGGGGCGCCACGGAACGCAGGGCCCUCACUGGCCCUGGGGACUGGGUGACGUCAGGGGUGAGCCUCUUGUGACUGCCUCCCUCACCCUGCGUAAGCUCAAAGGGACUAAAGGUCAGCCCCGACACCCGGAGCCAUUGUGGCUCCGGCCGGUUGUGCCUGCCCUCGGGCCCUCACGGAGGCGGGGGUUCCAGGGCACGAGUUCGAGGCCAGCCUGGUCCACAUUGGUUGCAGAAAAGAAUUCUUUUUAUCGUUCCCUAUAUAACAACAAAACAUAAAGGGAGGACGCCUUGAUAGGGAGAAAUGACAUCUUCCUAAGCGUUUUUAAAUUACUUCAAUGUAUCUUUUUUUUUUUUUUUUUUUUUUUUUUUGGGAGACCGAGGCUUGCUCUGUUGCCCAGGCUGGAGUGCAGUGGUGUGAUCUUGGCUCACUGCAACCUCCGCCUCGUCGGUUCAAGGGAGUCUCCUAUCUCAGCCUCCUGAGUAGCUGGGAUUACAGUCGCCUGCCAAGAGAUGGGGUUUCGCCAUGUUGACCAGGCUGGUCUUGAACACCUGGCCUCAAAUGAUCCACUCGCCUUGGUCUCCCAAAGUGGUAGGAUGACAGGCGUGAGCCACCGCGCCCAGCCUCUUCUAUUCUUUUAGAGACAGGGUCUCACUCUGUUGCCCAGGCUGGAGUGCAUUGAUGUGAUGUGUGAUCAUAGCUCAUUGCAGCCCUGACCAUCCGAGCUCAAGCAAUCCUUCUGCCUCAGCCUCCCGAGUAGCUGGGGCCGCAGAUGUGCACCACUGCACCUGGCUAAUUUUUAACAUUUUUGUGGAGCCAGAGUCUGUAUAAAAUAAAGUGUAAAUAGUACCAUAAAUAAAGUAUACAUAGUACCAUUUUAUAGUAGUAUAAAACGGACAUUAGAAACUCUGAACUUCAAGGUGAAAAAAAUACACAAAAGUAGUUCUCAAGUUCUAGAGACUUGGAGAAUCCAGGAAUCAACAAUGUCGUGGAACUCCUACAGCCUUUCAUAAAGAAUGGCCCUCGAGGAAAGUGGAAUUGUCAGUGGGCAUUGUGUUGGUGCCUCAGCUAAACGCGGCAGGAAUUUAUUUAUAACCUAGUGUAACAUCCUCGAGGCACUGUUCAAUUAUUCAAGCAAUUGUAAAAUUCUCCCAGUCUUAGAAAAGAUACAGGUGUGUGUCCCUCUGCUGUGGCUGUGCACUGAGGCUUCAGUAAAAGUUGCCGUCUAAAACCACCGGCCUGCCCUUGAAUUCUUUUUUUUUUUUUUUUUUUUUGAGAUGGAGUCUCACUCUAUCACCCAGGCUGGAGUGCAGUGACACGAUCUCUGCUCGUUGCAACCUCCGCCUCCCGGUUGAAUGAUAUUGAGAUGUAAAAAACCAUACAAAAGAUCAAUGAAACCCAAAGUUGAUUUUUUAAAAAAAUUAUUUAUUUAUUAUUUAUUCCAUAAAUUAUUGGGGUACAGGUGGUGUUUGGUUACCUAAGCUCUUUAGCGGUGAUUUGUGAUUUUGGUGCACCCGUCACCUGAGCAGUAUACACUACACCCUAUUUGUUGUCUUUUAUCCCUCGCCCCCGCCAACUCGUCCCCCUAAGUCCCCAAAGUCCAUUGUAUCAUUCUUACGCCUUUGCGUCCUCAUAGCUUAGCUCCCACAUAUCAGUGAGAACAUACGAUGUUUGGUUUUCCAUUCCGGAGUUACUUCACUUAGAAUAAUAGUCUCCAGUCUCCUCCAGGUCACUGCAAAUGCUGUUAAUUCAUAAAAAGUUGAUAUUUUCGAAGGCGUAAAUAACAUUGAAAGACCACUAGCUAGAUUAAUAAAGGCAAAAAGACAAGAUCCAAAUAAACACAAUCAGAAAUGACAGAGGUGACAUUACCACCGACCCACAGACAUACAAGAAACCCUGAGACUAUUCCACAUGCCUCUAUGCACACAAACUAGAAAACUAGAAGAAAUAGAUAAAUUCCUGGAAACAUCAAACCUCUCAAGAUUGAACCAGGAAGAAAUGGCAACCCUGAACAAACCAACGGUGAGUUCCAAAAUUGAGUUAGUCAUACAAAACGUACCAACCAAAACAAAAGCCUUAGACUAGACGGAUCCACAGUCGAAUUCUACCAGAUGUGUAAAGAAAAGCCGGCACCAAUCCUACUGAAAUUAUUCCACAAAAUUCAGGAGGAGCAACUGCUCUCGAACUCAUUCUAUGAGGUCAGAGUCAUUCUGAUACCGAAACCUGGCAGAGACACAACGAAAAAAGAAAAA
Long non-coding RNA from Gorilla gorilla gorilla (western lowland gorilla), 6697 nucleotides. RefSeq lists it as uncharacterized. The transcript has 3 exons. NCBI's taxonomy places the organism in Eukaryota, Metazoa, Chordata, Mammalia, Primates, Hominidae. The record is from RefSeq and is a predicted model, not a curated record.